Molecule: ribosomal RNA, 1019 nt
Filed under: Apis mellifera (honey bee)
Lineage: Eukaryota; Metazoa; Arthropoda; Insecta; Hymenoptera; Apidae
Description: SSU rRNA
Rfam family: Eukaryotic small subunit ribosomal RNA
Source: RNAcentral
CCAUGCAUGUCUCAGUACAUGCCGAAUUAAGGUGAAACCGCGAAUGGCUCAUUAAAUCAGUUAUGGUUCAUUAGAUCGUGGACACAUUUACUUGGAUAACUGUGGUAAUUCUAGAGCUAAUACAUGCAAACAGAAUUCCUCUCAGAGAUGGGAGGAAUGCUUUUAUUAGAUCAAAACCAAUCGGUGGCGGACGGCUCGUCCGUUCGUCCAUCGUUUGUUUUGGUGACUCUGAAUAACUUUGUGCUGAUCGCAUGGUCAUCUAGCACCGGCGACGCAUCUUUCAAAUGUCUGCCUUAUCAACUGUCGAUGGUAGGUUCUGCGCCUACCAUGGUUGUAACGGGUAACGGGGAAUCAGGGUUCGAUUCCGGAGAGGGAGCCUGAGAAACAGCUACCACAUCCAAGGAAGGCAGCAGGCGCGCAAAUUACCCACUCCCGGCACGGGGAGGUAGUGACGAAAAAUAACGAUACGGGACUCAUCCGAGGCCCCGUAAUCGGAAUGAGUACACUUUAAAUCCUUUAACGAGGACCAAUUGGAGGGCAAGUCUGGUGCCAGCAGCCGCGGUAAUUCCAGCUCCAAUAGCGUAUAUUAAAGUUGUUGCGGUUAAAAAGCUCGUAGUUGAAUCUGUGUGUCACAGUGUCGGUUCACCGCUCGCGGUGUUUAACUGGCAUUAUGUGGUACGUCCUAUCGGUGGGCUUAGCUCCUUGCGGGCGGUCCAACUAAUAUCCCAUCGCGGUGCUCUUCACUGAGUGUCGAGGUGGGCCGAUACGUUUACUUUGAAAAAAUUAGAGUGCUUAAAGCAGGCUACCUUUGCCUGAAUACUGUGUGCAUGGAAUAAUGGAAUAGGACCUCGGUUCUAUUUUGUUGGUUUUCGGAACCCCGAGGUAAUGAUUAAUAGGGACAGAUGGGGGCAUUCGUAUUGCGACGUUAGAGGUGAAAUUCUUGGAUCGUCGCAAGACGGACAGAAGCGAAAGCAUUUGCCAAAAAUGUUUUCAUUAAUCAAGAACGAAAGUUAGAGGUU